UAAUAAGAAACAAAUAUUGUUUUUAGUUUCGACCUAAAAUUUUGAUGGUAAUUCAUCCUUAUUAA
This 65-nucleotide transfer RNA is filed under the name Staphylinidae sp. BMNH 1274633. Its description in RNAcentral is "tRNA-Arg". The record is from RNAcentral. Lineage: Eukaryota; Metazoa; Arthropoda; Insecta; Coleoptera; Staphylinidae.